This 471-nucleotide ribosomal RNA is filed under the name uncultured bacterium. RNAcentral's name for it is "bacterial SSU rRNA". It matches the Rfam family "Bacterial small subunit ribosomal RNA", at positions 12 to 529 of the family's 1533-position model. The record is from RNAcentral.
UUUGAUCCUGGCUCAGAACGAACGCUGGCGGCAGGCCUAACACAUGCAAGUCGAGCGCACCCUUCGGGGCGAGCGGCGGACGGGUUAGUAACGCGUGGGAACAUACCCUUUUCUACGGAAUAGCCUCGGGAAACUGAGAGUAAUACCGUAUAAGCCCUUCGGGGGAAAGAUUUAUCGGGAAAGGAUUGGCCCGCGUUAGAUUAGAUAGUUGGUGGGGUAAUGGCCUACCAAGUCUACGAUCUAUAGCUGGUUUUAGAGGAUGAUCAGCAACACUGGGACUGAGACACGGCCCAGACUCCUACGGGAGGCAGCAGUGGGGAAUCUUAGACAAUGGGCGCAAGCCUGAUCUAGCCAUGCCGCGUGUGUGAUGAAGGCCUUAGGGUCGUAAAGCACUUUCGCCAGAGAUGAUAAUGACAGUAUCUGGUAAAGAAACCCCGGCUAACUCCGUGCCAGCAGCCGCGGUAAUAAGGG